Molecule: long non-coding RNA, 1912 nt
Organism: Pieris brassicae (large cabbage white)
Lineage: Eukaryota; Metazoa; Arthropoda; Insecta; Lepidoptera; Pieridae
Exons: 3
Source: RefSeq, a predicted model, not a curated record
AGGAAAAAAAAUAAAGUAGUUGAAGACCUAGCUGCUUACAGAGCUGACUGCCUUGAUCGCCUCUUAAGAGAAGGCUGCGAUCUUGACCCUGUCAUUGGUGAUACUGACUCUGAGAAACUCAUCCAAGAAUAAACUAACAUUAUCCAAUGACGGCCGGGCGCAAAAGUCUCUUUCUUUUCCUCAUGAAUCUGGCCUGGAAAUGCCGGUUCAGUAUGCCGUUACUCCUCAGUGGAACGAUGGCGUUAUUGGGGCAGGCCUGGAUGUUCCAGAUUCGAGUCCAAACCGUACAAGAAUUGCAUGAGAAUGAGGUUUCAUAGUUAUAUAGUAGUUAUCUUUGCUGGCAUAUUACGACGAUGACGAUAUGGACGACGACUCCCGGGACACUGAAUCCACUGACUCUUGGGAGACAAUAGUUGAAGAAGUGGCGUAUGGAUGACUGUUAUUCAGCUUAAUAUUCCACCAUGAGCGCAUGUGUUGUUUAAUCGUUUAAUACCAGGGUAGAUUUUCUGGAAUAUUUUAUGUCAGAACAACUUUGGCUUCAGUAUGAAAUUUACGAUAGUUUAUCAAUACGAUAUUGUCAGUUGUUGACACCUCGAAAAUGUGUUGUGAUACGUUUUUGUUUCCGAAAUAUUUUGUGUAGUUUACUACAAGUAUUCUAUUCGAGCCUCCGUUUAGUACCAAAUACGCUCACGGUGCGCUUCUAAAGUAUCACUCCUCACUUUUCUAUUGCAAUAGCUAUUGACUUUACCGUCAAUACCAAUGUUAGCAAUAUUUCAUUAUUAAAUGACGUGAUUCAUUAACGUUUCAACUUUGCUGCUCGGUUUUAAGGUUCAUUUUACAAUGUAUAUUAUCAAAUAUCUGUAUUUCGGCAGGAUUAAUUCCUACUUAUUAUUGUGGUCGAACUUAGAUCAACACCAGAUAGUCUGUACGCUAAAUAAAGCGUCGUAUCGAAGAUCAAAACAGUUUUAAAUUAACUUUUUUUAUGUCAUUACUAGACAGGUAGACAUUCGACACUUUUGACAGAUACGCCAGUUUUCUUACCGCACAGACUAUCUGUCAUACAGUCUAAUUGUUAGAGGUUUUUGUGGUUUUGACAUAUCUACGUUUUUUUUUUUGUCAAUUUACGUCGGAAUUAGUUUCUGACAGCUGACAGCGUUUUCAAAUUGUGAUUGUGUUCAGUUUAUUAUUUAAUAAAAUAAAUAAAUCAAUGUAAAACUUUGGACAGUGAAACAAAAUUGUCGUAAAUAUAAAUAAUUAUUUAAUAUUGGGUCCUAAUACUAUAAGAAUAUCACAAAAAUCUUAAGUAAGAUUCUGUUAGACUUAACGCUGAGUAAAAAUCCAAUCGGUUAGGAAUAAAAUAUUUUUUCUAAAACGAUAAUUUUAUUUAUUAAGAAACAAACAUUUAUUUUUCAUCAUCACUUUAAUAGAAACAAGAAUAAGAUAUAAGAUAUAAAGUUUGUAUUUGACUCACAUCCUAGAUCAGUUGCACAGAUAAUAAUAAUUAAUGACAGCAAAGCGACUUUGCUAGUACACAAGUAGACUUUUGAUUCUCUAUUAAAAAUCCUGUUAAAAUUAUAAACACUGUUAAAAUUCAGGUAUUUAUUUUAUUUUUUGCCUUAAAUUAUUUCCUGAACCACUAUAUAUCUGGUUAUCCUGUGUUAGUAAAUAUUUGCAACAGUAAGUAUGUAUCAGGAACCCUCUCCGGUAAGGCUUGCCAUCUUUCUCUUCAAAAUUCAGGUAUAGGAGUGUUUAAUACUUAGCUCUAGGUCGCCUUAGCCUUAGAUUUUUUGUUUUCAUUCAUCACAUUCCGUGGAAUAUAUCGAUUUGUAAGCAUGGUUACAUGGUACAAAGCCCACAUCUUAAACGUAGUGUUUUUAUAGUGAUAAGAGGAAAAUUAUUGAAUAGUUAUUCC